Molecule: ribosomal RNA, 375 nt
Filed under: uncultured bacterium
Lineage: Bacteria
Description: bacterial SSU rRNA
Rfam family: Bacterial small subunit ribosomal RNA
Source: RNAcentral
GAUGAACGCUAGCGGCAGGCUUAAUACAUGCAAGUCGUACGGGAUCCGAGGUAGCAAUACUUUGGUGAGAGUGGCGCACGGGUGCGUAACACGUAUGCAACCUACCUUUAACCGGGACACAACCCACCGAAAGGUGAGCUAAUAUCCCAUAACACUGCGAAGUGGCAUCACUUUGCAGUUAAAACUCCGGUGGUUAUGGAUGGGCAUGCGCGACAUUAGCUAGUUGGUGAGGUAACGGCCCACCAAGGCUACGAUGUCUAGGGGUUCUGAGAGGAUUAUCCCCCCANACUGGUACUGAGACACGGACCAGACUCCUACGGGAGCAGCAGUAGGGAAUAUUGGGCAAUGGAGGCAACUCUGACCCAGCCAUGCCGC